RNAcentral lists this non-coding RNA (77 nucleotides) under Blautia sp. Its description in RNAcentral is "c-di-GMP sequence". It matches the Rfam family "c-di-GMP-I riboswitch aptamer". From Rfam's summary of the family: GEMM was predicted in a large-scale screen for bacterial structured RNA regulatory elements. The record is from RNAcentral. Lineage: Bacteria; Bacillati; Bacillota; Clostridia; Lachnospirales; Lachnospiraceae.
ACUUCAUAAAGGCAAAGCUGUGGUAACGCAGUGACGCAAAGCUAUAGGGGCCGAGAACGAGCCAGCCAGUUGCAAGA